RNAcentral lists this non-coding RNA (72 nucleotides) under Erysipelotrichaceae bacterium MTC7. RNAcentral's name for it is "Fluoride riboswitch aptamer (crcB RNA motif)". It matches the Rfam family "Fluoride riboswitch aptamer (crcB RNA motif)". RNAcentral also lists the same sequence under 1 other name. Lineage: Bacteria; Bacillati; Bacillota; Erysipelotrichia; Erysipelotrichales; Erysipelotrichaceae. The record is from Rfam by way of RNAcentral.
CUAUGCGCAGGGAAUGAAAUCUCCCUCGAUUACAUUAUCGAAACCGCGCAAGCUAAUGAUUUCUGCAUUUUU